Non-coding RNA from Scleropages formosus (Asian bonytongue), 1016 nucleotides. NCBI's taxonomy places the organism in Eukaryota, Metazoa, Chordata, Actinopteri, Osteoglossiformes, Osteoglossidae. The record is from the annotation of a RefSeq genome assembly.
UUUAAUAUUCCACUGAAAAGAGAGUUCUGGAGGGUAGGGGAAGAGGAGGGAGGAAUUGGACGGAGCCCCUCGAACGGUGCUUCUUAUGAUCCUGCUUACUUUGGCGGAGGAACCAGACUCACCGUGUUGGAGCGCAACAUUUCGUACCCAGAAGUGCAAAUCCUGCCACCAUCCAGUCAGGAAAUCGAGGACAAGAAGCGCGUCACACUGGUUUGUGUGGCAACUGGUUUCUACCCUGACCAUAUCACUAUUACGUGGUACCUCAAUGACCGGCGGGAUGAGAGGUCCGUACAAGAUGAGACAGCCGUGCAGGCGCCGGACAAGACGUACAGCAUCACGAGCCGCCUCCGGAUCUCGGUGAAGGAAUGGCAGAGGAGCAGGAACAAAUUCAAAUGCCACGUGGAGUUUUAUGCUGAGAACGGCACCAAGUCCUUUACAAAAGAAAUCCAAGGAAAAAAAUGUGGAUUUACUGCAGAUAAAUUAAUGAGCACAGGAAACCUCGCUGUGUUUUCAUACUUGCUGUUCCUGGGGAAGAGUGCCCUGUUUGCCCUGUUUGUCAUCGUCUUUAUAAUUAAAUUGAAGGACUCCACAACCAGGAAAUUCACAGACUAAGACCAACUGAGACGAAAUGAUCAAGCAGCUUCAGUUUAAGACAUUUUAAUUUUGACAUUGGACAAGGUGCUGCCCACGUCACAUAUGUGAAAAUUCUUUUUCAGCAGACUUCUCUUUGAAACAUUCAAAAAUGGUUUUCUUUAAUAUCUUGCUUGUGUAUUAGAUGUUGCUUUAGGCUGCAUGUUAGUUCUCCUAUGUAAAUAGAAAUAAGAUCCAGGUGAGCGUAAAUGUUCCACAUAUUUGUGAAUCAUGAAUUACUGAAGAUGAAUGGUACAAAAAUAGGUAAAAUGCAAAAAACAUCUUUAACGAAUGCUAUUCAACCAAUAUAUUGGAACCCAACAUUUCUGAAACUUUGUAUUAACCUUAGAAAAAAACAAAACGCAAGCAGUUUUAACUCAUUUCAU